RNAcentral lists this transfer RNA (74 nucleotides) under Camelus bactrianus (Bactrian camel). It matches the Rfam family "tRNA". Rfam says of the family: Transfer RNA (tRNA) molecules are approximately 80 nucleotides in length. Their secondary structure includes four short double-helical elements and three loops (D, anti-codon, and T loops). Further hydrogen bonds mediate the characteristic L-shaped molecular structure. tRNAs have two regions of fundamental functional importance: the anti-codon, which is responsible for specific mRNA codon recognition, and the 3' end, to which the tRNAs corresponding amino acid is attached (by aminoacyl-tRNA synthetases). tRNAs cope with the degeneracy of the genetic code in two manners: having more than one tRNA (with a specific anti-codon) for a particular amino acid; and 'wobble' base-pairing, i.e. permitting non-standard base-pairing at the 3rd anti-codon position. RNAcentral also lists the same sequence under 2 other names. Lineage: Eukaryota; Metazoa; Chordata; Mammalia; Artiodactyla; Camelidae. The record is from Rfam by way of RNAcentral.
GAGGGUAUAGCUUAAGUGGUAGAGUGCAUGCUUAUCAUGUAAGAUGAUCCUGGGUUCAAUCCCCAGUACCUCCC